RNAcentral lists this ribosomal RNA (496 nucleotides) under uncultured bacterium. Its description in RNAcentral is "partial 16S ribosomal RNA". It matches the Rfam family "Bacterial small subunit ribosomal RNA", at positions 28 to 506 of the family's 1533-position model. The record is from RNAcentral.
GAUGGACGCUGGCGGCGUGCCUAAUACAUGCAAGUCGAGCGAACGGACGAGAAGCUUGCUUUUCUGAUGUUAGCGGCGGACGGGUGAGUAACACGUGGAUAACCUACCUAUAAGACUGGGAUAACUUCGGGAAACCGGAGCUAAUACCGGAUAAUAUUUUGAACCGCAUGGUUCAUAAGUGAAAGACGGUCUUGCUGUCACUUAUAGAUGGAUCCGCGCUGCAUUAGCUAGUUGGUAAGGUAACGGCUUACCAAGGCAACGAUGCAUAGCCGACCUGAGAGGGUGAUCGGCCACACUGGAACUGAGACACGGUCCAGACUCCUACGGGAGGCAGCAGUAGGGAAUCUUCCGCAAUGGGCGAAAGCCUGACGGAGCAACGCCGCGUGAGUGAUGAAGGUCUUCGGAUCGUAAAACUCUGUUAUUAGGGAAGAACAUAUGUGUAAGUAACUGUGCACAUCUUGACGGUACCUAAUCAGAAAGCCACGGCUAACUACGU